UGGAGAGUUUGAUCCUGGCUCAGGAUGAACGCUGGCGGCGUGCUUAACACAUGCAAGUCGAACGGUGAAGCCAAGCUUGCUUGGUGGAUCAGUGGCGAACGGGUGAGUAACACGUGAGCAACCUGCCCUGGACUCUGGGAUAAGCGCUGGAAACGGCGUCUAAUACUGGAUAUGAGACGUGAUCGCAUGGUCGUGUUUGGAAAGAUUUUUCGGUCUGGGAUGGGCUCGCGGCCUAUCAGCUUGUUGGUGAGGUAAUGGCUCACCAAGGCGUCGACGGGUAGCCGGCCUGAGAGGGUGACCGGCCACACUGGGACUGAGACACGGCCCAGACUCCUACGGGAGGCAGCAGUGGGGAAUAUUGCACAAUGGGCGGAAGCCUGAUGCAGCAACGCCGCGUGAGGGAUGACGGCCUUCGGGUUGUAAACCUCUUUUAGCAGGGAAGAAGCGUGAGUGACGGUACCUGCAGAAAAAGCGCCGGCUAACUACGUGCCAGCAGCCGCGGUAAUACGUAGGGCGCAAGCGUUAUCCGGAAUUAUUGGGCGUAAAGAGCUCGUAGGCGGUUUGUCGCGUCUGCUGUGAAAUCCCGAGGCUCAACCUCGGGCCUGCAGUGGGUACGGGCAGACUAGAGUGCGGUAGGGGAGAUUGGAAUUCCUGGUGUAGCGGUGGAAUGCGCAGAUAUCAGGAGGAACACCGAUGGCGAAGGCAGAUCUCUGGGCCGUAACUGACGCUGAGGAGCGAAAGGGUGGGGAGCAAACAGGCUUAGAUACCCUGGUAGUCCACCCCGUAAACGUUGGGAACUAGUUGUGGGGACCAUUCCACGGUUUCCGUGACGCAGCUAACGCAUUAAGUUCCCCGCCUGGGGAGUACGGCCGCAAGGCUAAAACUCAAAGGAAUUGACGGGGACCCGCACAAGCGGCGGAGCAUGCGGAUUAAUUCGAUGCAACGCGAAGAACCUUACCAAGGCUUGACAUAUACGAGAACGGGCCAGAAAUGGUCAACUCUUUGGACACUCGUAAACAGGUGGUGCAUGGUUGUCGUCAGCUCGUGUCGUGAGAUGUUGGGUUAAGUCCCGCAACGAGCGCAACCCUCGUUCUAUGUUGCCAGCACGUAAUGGUGGGAACUCAUGGGAUACUGCCGGGGUCAACUCGGAGGAAGGUGGGGAUGACGUCAAAUCAUCAUGCCCCUUAUGUCUUGGGCUUCACGCAUGCUACAAUGGCCGGUACAAAGGGCUGCAAUACCGUGAGGUGGAGCGAAUCCCAAAAAGCCGGUCCCAGUUCGGAUUGAGGUCUGCAACUCGACCUCAUGAAGUCGGAGUCGCUAGUAAUCGCAGAUCAGCAACGCUGCGGUGAAUACGUUCC
RNAcentral lists this ribosomal RNA (1358 nucleotides) under Microbacterium testaceum. RNAcentral describes it as "bacterial SSU rRNA". It matches the Rfam family "Bacterial small subunit ribosomal RNA", at positions 1 to 1374 of the family's 1533-position model. Lineage: Bacteria; Bacillati; Actinomycetota; Actinomycetes; Micrococcales; Microbacteriaceae. The record is from RNAcentral.